This is a non-coding RNA of Vicugna pacos (alpaca), 1879 nucleotides long. NCBI's taxonomy places the organism in Eukaryota, Metazoa, Chordata, Mammalia, Artiodactyla, Camelidae. The record is from RefSeq and is a predicted model, not a curated record.
UGGGGAACUACUCUAUGAAAUCAUUGUUUGGAAGUUAGUGGCUUAUCUGCUCUCAAAUUUCUUCUUUACUUUUCCUCUAUUUUCUCUCUCUGUUUACCUAGAAGUCAAAGGAUCUCUUCCAGCCAGACAUUUUGGGGCUUGUCUCUCAGGUGAAGGACCCAAGGGUUCAGGUGACUGAUAGAAGCUCCAUUUUAUGUAUUUCCUGCUGAUGGCCCAGCUGAGACCAUACAUCGAGGCCUUAAGGAUAACAGAACCACAAAAUGAAAAGGGAUAUGUAUUCCUGGUUGAUGAGCCACUGGACAAUCCACCAUGCUUUUCUCGAACUUGUACAUAAGAAGGAGAAAGAAAUUGUCUCAUUUUUCCCUUACGUUGCUGCAGUUGGAAUCUCUUUGUUACAGUAGAUUGGUCUCUCCUACUAAUACUUGAGGGAAGUGUAUAUAAAAAUGUGUUUUCUGUCUCUAAGAUUUACUGGUGAUGUGACCUAGGAUAACUGACAUAAUUUCUUGGCUUAUAUUUACUAUAAACAGAGACAGUUGAUAACUUAAAAAUUGUAUAGAUAUAACAUAGGUUACUCACUAAACUGCUUAACUUAGAGUAAGAGAGAAUUAAAUCAUAGCAGCUAUUGCUGUGUUUUUUAUGUCUACUUCUUUUCUUUCUUCUUAAAGAAAACAUAGAGUGCUAAUAUUAAUCAUAAAGUUACCAAUUUCUUUGAUCAUUAUAUGCUUAUCAUUUAUUUUUAAGUCAAGAUUUGCCAAAGAAAUAGUGUAUUCAGGUUAAAAAAAAAGUGAAUAUGAUACAGAAAGUUCAUUUUCCUGCUGAAUUCAGCAUUCUCAUUAUUAUAUUUUACACUGGAGAUGAGAUUUUAUUAAAAAAUUAAAGCUCAAGAAUACCAUAGAUAGUAUAUUUAAAAUAUAUUUCUCCUUAACUAAUGUGAAAUACUAGAAAAAUGAACAUAACGAACAAGUAGCUUGUCUUUGCAGACUAAUGAAGGUAAAAUUCAGUAUUAUCCUUAUCACAAUAAUUAUACUUAAUUUUCACAUAGAAAAUAUGAAUUGCAUUGGGAAUCAUUUUAAUGAAUAUAUGCAAUGAAAAAUGGGUGUGAUAAUUAACUUUUCUGAGUUGAACUUGGUACAUUUUAUAUGGUUUUCAAGUCACUAAUAGUAACUUUUUUAUCGUAAAUAAAAUGGACAUAUUUCAUUCAAAUUUAUUUGAAAUAUAAAUUUAUUGAAACAAUGAAAAGGCAUUAAUAAGAUCUUUCCCCCUUUUUUUUCUUUUUCAUACUAACAUAGAGCCUCAUUUUUUUUUCUUUUUUCCCUUGGAAGAGAAAAAUUUGUUUUCUUCUGACUAAAGGAGCACCGUGUUAAAGGAUGUAUCAAAUAUUACAGAUAUUUCUAUGACAUUCUCUAAUGUGGAUAGAAAAAAAUUGGAAAUUUAAAGGUUUCACUUUACAAACUGUUUAAACACAGUAUCUUUAUAAUGAAUGGGACUAAUUUUCUUGACCAUUAACCAUAAUACACAGAAGACUGUGAAUGAGGCAGGAAAUGGCUUGGUUUUUAUUUAGCUUAGUUUGCACCAUGAUUAAAGCAUUGAUGGGAAGUCUGAAGAAGCAGCACCUGGGGCUUAAUUUGGGCCCCAAAGAGAAGGAGGAACACAACUCUCUCCCCAACCCCAGACUCCUCUAGGGGGAGGUGGACUUGUGGUCACACAGAAAUGGAAUGGAAAACAAAGGAAUAUCCCCCUGACUUUGAAGGAAAACUUUCUUUCUUAAGUAGUGAAAAGGCAACUUCUUCAUGAUACGAAGAGGAGCAUUCUCUCUUGGUUAUUCUCUCGGUAAUCUUUACAUCAUUAAGUCGGUAAAAAAAUUCAAAUCCUGUCCCCC